UUGCCUCCAAGGUUUUCUCCAAAAUUUUGUCAUUCCCUCUCUAAAGUUUGCCGUCUUCCACUCUCCAUUUUUUUUUUCUUUUUUUCUUUUUUUUAAAUGAAGAAUCAUAUUUUCAUUCUGUAAUUGGGAAAUCAAAACUCUUCCCUUAGAAAAUCCAAAACUAUUUAUACAAUUUUAGGCAACUGCCUGCCGAUUUUGGUCAACCAUCGCUACGAUUCCGAUUGUGUUAUUGAUUGCUCCUGUUGCUGCCCUUCCGCCACCAGGAGUAGGGAUUGAUGCUGUAUGGAAAUGGAGUCGACCAACAACAACAAAAUCUAGAAUGUGGGCCUCUUACUAGUGACGACUCUGUUAGCGGAAAAACUGAUUUCAGCAUUAAUAAUGCCCAGAUCGAAGAAACGACGACAAUCUUUUUGGUAGGUGCUCGAUAGGCUGUUGCAAUUUUUGAAGGGGCCAGUGGUGCUGAGAGAAGAGUACCCAAAGCUUGGUAGCGUGUUCAGCCUGUCAUAGUUGCCAUGUGCCACAGUAAGAAUUGAUAGUUUGGGUUUAUAUUAAUUUGAUUCCAGCUUUCCUUAAUUUGAAUUUCUUUAUGAUUGGAUUUUGAAUUGUAAAUAUCAGCAUGAUAUUAUAGUUAUGGCCGAUAAUCUGUAUUAUACAAAAUACAGGAAUUAUUGCUAGGUGAAUUUCUCGUUUCCAAUUAGAGAUGACCAACAGAGUCCAUUUGAUUGGGCCCUUUGUUCCUACUUACAAAUGUCCAGUGGAGCAAUUGGAUCAAAUACAAACCUCAUGAGGCAAAGUAAAUUUAUUCCCAUUUAGAAUAAGCAUUGGAUGAAUAAUCUAUGAAAUGUUCAAAAUUUUGUUCUUUUUGAAAUAAUGCUUACAACUUAUUCAAAGCUUGUUGUUUCUUAAAUAUAAGUGUUCCAUUUGCACUGUUUUUGUACAUAAUGAGGGAUGGAUAUCAUUCUAUAACAUCAUUACAAAAGAACUAUGCAGAUUGAAUGAGGAAUUUUUCUUGCACUUGAAAGAUGGACUGGGGAAACUAAGGUUUGCCGUGUAAAAGACUAAGGUUUGUCUUUAUAAUUUUUUGAUUUGGUUUUUGUGAAAUGAAUGAGAAGAAGCAAGCAUCUACAGUGAUUUUGUUUGUAGGAAAUGGAAGACAGAUUGAUAGAACUAGAAGAACUCCAAAAGGCUCUGCAGGAAGGAACGGGUUUUGUCAAACACCCUAAACUUUUCAGCCAAAACAUUUCUAUUACAAUUUGUACUCUAUAAGACCCCAACCUAUCUAUGUCGUUCUCUACAGAAGUCUAUUAUAAAAUGCAAGAUGAACUCGUAAACGCGAGGAAGAACUUAAUGAAAAUUUUGACAUCAGAUAAUGUCAAGACUACUGUAUGAUACUUUUCUUAGCUCAUUACAUCAUAGUAUUGCGUUUCCUGAUUUUCA
Molecule: long non-coding RNA, 1437 nt
Filed under: Olea europaea subsp. europaea
Lineage: Eukaryota; Viridiplantae; Streptophyta; Magnoliopsida; Lamiales; Oleaceae
Source: RNAcentral